This is a long non-coding RNA of Cyanistes caeruleus (blue tit), 1123 nucleotides long. RefSeq lists it as uncharacterized. NCBI's taxonomy places the organism in Eukaryota, Metazoa, Chordata, Aves, Passeriformes, Paridae. The record is from RefSeq and is a predicted model, not a curated record.
UGUUCAACUGGCUCAGCUGCUUCUAGCUCAUAUAAUGUCCUUUCAGAUAUGGUUAAGAAACUGUCAGAAGCAGUUAUUCAGGGAGGAAGGGCAGGCUGAAAGGAGCAGAAUUACACACAGGUACUCGAGCCUCAAUUCAGACCUGGGAGCAAAUAAUGCAAAUAGUGAAGGAAGGGUGGUUGUCUGUGUUCCAGGAUGAGAUUUUUUAUUCACAGGUAAGUUUUUGGUGGUACAGCCAAGGCUAAAAAAUGUCUAUAUCCAUCAUUUCCAGCACCUAGGGAUGCGUUUGCUAUGCAUGAGUAGUCCUGUGGACUUCAUGGGCUCUGCUUGCUGGUUGGAAAUGCAGCUUGUUUGUGCUCAGGGAUCAGCCAGUUCUCACUGCAGCAGAGCUGUUCCAGGCAGUAAGGCCACAGGGAUAGAGCUGAAGGGAAACUACUGGAAGCCAUUGGGAAAGGCCUACUACGUCAUCUUGUCCCUGGUCUGCCAUGUACUUUUUAAGUUUUCAUUUUUCCAGGUACUUUCUGUUCCUCGCCAGUUACGGUCUUGCCAAGUUUUACAGGAUUUGUUUCUUCUUCCAGCCUGUCAGCUUGGAAGGCCCAGCUGAGAUUUUGAAAGGGCCUACCUGCCAGGAGAAUGGAUAAAUUCUGUAACAUUACAGUGGUGUUCGCUUGGCAGCAUCUGCAGGAGCCACUAAUGGAGGAUCUCAUCUUGUGGGGGAAAAAAAAAAAGGUUAAAAAAGGAGAGAAAUGCAGCUGGAAGAAGAGGAGAUUCAGAAGCAAAGGGAAGAUGUCGAUGCCAAGUGAAAACAGCACCAUGCUCUGGGUCUCUAUGAAGGAGGAGAGGUUUUAGUGAAAAGCACUCUGGAAAUCAAUAGGGUUGCUUUUCGUGCUGGUGAUCUUCCUACUUGCACAGCAAACUUUUCUCCUGCAGAAAUCAGUGGAACAACCUACUUCUCCUUUUUUGUUGCACAAAAAUGCAACUGCUCAGCCUGCAAGUUUAGCAGAGGAAAUUUUACUUGGCUAUCAGUUAUGGAAAAUUAAGGGAAUCUGGACACUCAUCCUUAAUCUUACUAUGAGAGGAAGGAUAGUUGCCCAUUGCAACAUUUGGAAGCUGUGAAAAAAAA